Long non-coding RNA from Microtus ochrogaster (prairie vole), 571 nucleotides. RefSeq lists it as uncharacterized. The record is from RefSeq and is a predicted model, not a curated record. NCBI's taxonomy places the organism in Eukaryota, Metazoa, Chordata, Mammalia, Rodentia, Cricetidae.
CACCGCAGGUGGGCGGGGCCUAAACGGUGUUCCGUGGGAUUGGGCGAGAAGAAACAGGUGCCAGGUCGACGCCGAGGGCUUCUCUACGGCUGGCCGCCUAGGAGAGGCGGCCACGCAGGUGAGCGUGUUCCAGACGGUUCUGGCUUUGCUUAAAAGGAGCAUGCGCUUUAGAGCUUUUCGUCCACUAAGUGUCAGCUACGACUGUCGUCUCUUCCUUCCCUGCUUACUGUCUCAAGCCCCAGCGUUAGGAUUUUCUCCGCACCAGCCCCUCAGUGGCAUGGGUCCAGGGCUUUUGUUCCAUGUCAUCCCCUAGGGAAGCUCUGGGCUGAGGCUUAGUCUUGGAUGGUCCAUCACAAAUGCACCGUGAUGAGACAGGCAAAUCAUGUUUCAGGUCUGGGCAGCCAGGAACAAACGAGCGGCCUCUGCCUACAUCCCCUUCCCCACCAAAUAUGGAAGCCAAACACAGAUAUUCUUGUAUUCAGCAUUGUACUUUAGGAUUCUGCUAAAUAAAUCCUGUAAGGAAAAAACUACAUAUUAAAAGAGUAAAGUGUUGGAGAAUAUUAACUUGGUA